RNAcentral lists this ribosomal RNA (305 nucleotides) under uncultured bacterium. RNAcentral's name for it is "bacterial SSU rRNA". It matches the Rfam family "Bacterial small subunit ribosomal RNA", at positions 333 to 630 of the family's 1533-position model. The record is from RNAcentral.
CGGUUCCUACGGGAGGCAGCAGUAGGGAAUCUUCCACAAUGGGCGAAAGCCUGAUGGAGCAACGCCGCGUGGGUGAAGAAGGUCUUCGGAUCGUAAAACCCUGUUGUUAGAGAAGAAAGUGCGUGAGAGUAACUGUUCACGUUUCGACGGUAUCUAACCAGAAAGCCACGGCUAACUACGUGCCAGCAGCUGCGGUAAUACGUAGGUGGCAAGCGUUAUCCGGAUUUAUUGGGCGUAAAGGGAACGCAGGCGGUCUUUUAAGUCUGUUGUGAAAGCCUUCGGCUUAACCGCGGUAGUGCAUUGGA